Molecule: long non-coding RNA, 687 nt
Organism: Aethalodelphis obliquidens (Pacific white-sided dolphin)
Lineage: Eukaryota; Metazoa; Chordata; Mammalia; Artiodactyla; Delphinidae
Exons: 4
Source: RefSeq, a predicted model, not a curated record
CAUUGCUUGCACUACCGCCUGAGCUCCACCUCCUGUCAACAUUAUGCUUGUCUUCCAGUGGAAAGACCGUUGAUAUUCCCAAGAAGGCCUGAUAUUAAUGGCACAUCAAGUCCUAUUCUAGGCCAGGAGGGUACAGCACAGAACAAAACAGACAAAAUUCCCUUCACUCCUGAAGUUCAUAAGACUGAGAUGGAUCUUACGGCAGCUUUGGAGGCAGAAGUUGUAGGCAUGCUGAACUCGACGUUAAUGUGAUUGGCAAAUCUGGAAGGCACUUCCCGGUCAGAGCCAAGUUCAAGAUGGCAGAAGAAACAGUGUGGGUGACCAGCAGCUAUGAAAGAAGGACAAAGAAUCUAGGGUUCAGGUUCUUUGGGGAGGAAGUGGAAGAGCCUCAAUAACAAACAAAAGGAGGCCUGGCAGUCUUUAAGAGCAUCCAACUAUGAGCAGAGAAUCUGCCUCGGCAGAAAUCACACUGCAUGUGCUUCAGACCCUUUGACAUAACAUCUGACUACAGUAGCCUGGUAUCCUAGCAAUAAAACCCAUGACCUGAGAAAUGGAGUGCUUUCUGCCUGCUCAGGUCAGAGUGCUAUGUGAACACAGUGUAAAUACUAUGAAAUAGAGGUUGUAUAUUGGCAGAAAGGAAUAAAAGAGAUCAGCACUUAGCACCUAAUAAAACAUCAAAGACGGCCA